Haliotis rufescens (red abalone) is the source of this 1781-nucleotide RNA transcript. It is a transcript of the gene named hepatocyte growth factor-like protein, with no coding region annotated. The transcript has 5 exons. NCBI's taxonomy places the organism in Eukaryota, Metazoa, Mollusca, Gastropoda, Lepetellida, Haliotidae. The record is from RefSeq and is a predicted model, not a curated record.
GCUAAGUCUGCUGUGAGAUAAAGUACUUCUCACUCAAGCACACAUUCACUAGGAUGACAUUCAAUCCUUAAAGGAAACGACCCUGUCAACAGCAUGGUGUUCCGACUUGGACUUUGUGUGAUCUUGCUGUGUGCUUGCGGAUAUGUUACCGAAUCCAGUGACUGUCAAAUUCGUGACAACUACGACACCUUUAUAAAAUCCGUGGACUACUUUCUGGCUGCCAUGGAUAAAACAUGUGGGAACACGGACAUGCGCAGUGAAAGCAAGGCAACACACCUACAGACUAUGGACAACCGUAUAAAUGACCUCGAGAAGAAAGUCGCCAAUCUGACGGCUGAGCUAGGUGUAGAUUGUGGCCCACCGACUCCUAUAGAAGGCACAGACGUUGUCUACAGUUCAACAGGUCUUCAUUCUGUCGCAAAGUACAGAUGCAAGAAGGGUUUGCUGAACAAGAGUCCUGGUGACCAGAUGAUGAGCUUCUGUCUGAAGGACGGGUACUGGACGAUGGUCAGCACGACGUGUGUCAACGUAUCCGGUUGCUGGAUGAUAUCUGGUUCAAGAGUGUUAUAUACUGGCACUCAGUCAAGAACCAGAUCCGGCAAGACCUGCCAGCGGUGGGAUGCUCAGGAGCCACACUCUCACGGCUACGAAGACGGGCAGUUCAUUAUCUCAGGCUUUGACUCGCUCCAAACUGUUAAGGAAUCUGCCAACUACUGCCGUGACCCAUCACGCAGCGGGUAUUUGUGGUGUUACACCUCGAAUCCAAAGAAGCGUUGGGAAAAGUGUGAUGUCCCCAUGUGUUCGAUGCUCCCCUCUCCUCCACCCUCCCACUAACGGAAGCAGUAUUGCCUGUUCUAGGUUCUGUGCUCCCCUCUCCUCCACCCUCCUACUAACGGAAGCAGUAUUGCCUGUUCUAGGUUCUGUGCUCCCCUCUCCUCCACCCUCCUACUAACGGAAGCAGUAUUGCCUGUUCUAGGUUCUGUGCUCCCCUCUCCUCCACCCUCCUACUAACGGAAGCAGUAUUGCCUGUUCUAGGUUCUGUGCUCCCCUCUCCUCCACCCUCCUGCUAACGGAAGCAGUAUUGCCUGUUCUAGGUUCUAUGCUAUACUUCAAACUACAUUACUAAUAAAUGAACCUUUUUCCUUCGAAGAUUGAAAACGCGUCCUGGUUUUGGUCUGACUUAGGCCUGGAGCGGUAGCUGCUUUUGGCAGCGUGGUAGUUGCCAAGCAAUGGUAGCGUUUAAAUAUGCUACCAUGGGGGCCGGACAGCGGUAGCAGUCUCAGGCCAGCAGAGCCAGCUGUGAAACGCCGUUGGCCACGACAUUGGCCAUGGCAACGGUAGCAUUUUGGUAUACACAACUAGCAGCUUAGUGGCCCACCGGUACCUGCACAUCCUCGGCCAUUUAACCCAAUCUCAUCUUCUGUUUUUAUUAUAGGCACGGGCAUCCACGGCUCAGCGGCCCGUGCCUCUCCUUGGCAUAUCGCGGGAUAGUUGUUGUGUUAAACCUCGAAUCAAAAGGCACGUUGAGAAAAGUGCGAUGUCCCUAUGUGUUCCAUGCCAAAUUGAUUUGUUUGUGCAAGUACAUAACUGACACAAUGGACCCCUCUCGUCCGCCUUCCUACUAACGGAAGCAGUAUUGCCUGUUCUAGGUUCUAUGCUAUACUUCAAACUACAUUACUAAUAAAUGAACCUUUUUUCCUUUGAAGAUUGAAAAACGUCCUGGUGUUUUAUUUGUAAUAGUGAUAAUUAAAACAAAUUAAACUUCAAAUUCGAAUACCGCA